Molecule: long non-coding RNA, 705 nt
Filed under: Vombatus ursinus (common wombat)
Lineage: Eukaryota; Metazoa; Chordata; Mammalia; Diprotodontia; Vombatidae
Description: lncRNA (ENSVURG00010010597.1)
Source: RNAcentral
GGAAAAUAAUGAAAAUGAGGCUUGCAAGAAAGGUUGGAGCCCAGAUUGUGAAGGGUUUUAAAAGUUAAACAGAGUAGUUUGUGCUUUUUCCUAGAGGCAACAGGAAGCUACCAAGUAGAUGUAGAGAAUCUUCACAUUAAGGAAGAGGAUGUCCAAUACAGAGAGGAGGCCACAGGAAUGUUCAAGUUAAAAUAGGCUGGCAAAUUGUGUGACUGUGCCAAUGAUGACAAGAAAACAAUCUGGAAGAUGUGGUUUCUGUUAACUGCUAAGCAAGCGAAAUGCAGAUGCUUAUUCAGAGCUCUGCAUUUUGGAAAAUCGCACCUGACGUGAACAGAACUUGUCAUUUGGCCUGCGUUCCCCAUUGUUCCUUUCAGAGUCAAUUUUCAAGGCUGCAAGCAGUGGAGAACCCCACUUUUCCAGAGGAUGUUACUUUUGAUUCUACUCCUGAAGGAUUGUGUCUUCCCUGCAGGCGAUGCAAAAUAUUACCGAUCCUGAACCUGGAGGGAAAACUGAAAACGAAUUAAUUGGUGGAGUGAUAAACGACCUUAAAGACCUGGUUCAGCCUCCUUAUUUGACAGAUGAGAAACUGAGGUCCAGAGAGAGAGGAAUGGGCUUUUCCAAGGUCACACAUCCAGUUAAUAGCAGAGCUGGGAGUAGUCCUUAAAAGGUAUCCAAAGUAAAGGGAACUAAUUUGCUUUCUAUGAA